GCCCUCUCAGGGUCACACCUGGAGAGUUUCCAGUACUCUACCAGUCUCGGCUAUGGGAGGGACAGUCAGGCAGAGGCAUAACCAUUUCAUUCCUAGCUUGGGAAGUAGCAAAUGAGUGGAAGGCCAUCUGCUACAAGU
This is a small nucleolar RNA of Ornithorhynchus anatinus (platypus), 138 nucleotides long. The record is from RefSeq and is a predicted model, not a curated record. Lineage: Eukaryota; Metazoa; Chordata; Mammalia; Monotremata; Ornithorhynchidae.